This is a non-coding RNA of Cordylochernes scorpioides, 8250 nucleotides long. The record is from the annotation of a GenBank genome assembly. Lineage: Eukaryota; Metazoa; Arthropoda; Arachnida; Pseudoscorpiones; Chernetidae.
UUAUAAAUAUCUUUCUAUCAUAAUUCUAAGGUGGUUUCAUAAAGAAUCCUGAGAAUUUUAUGAUUUCUUCCUCCUUUUAGGUAAUGGACAUUCGCUGGAAAAAAUUCAAGUCUCAACUCCCAGCAGUUUCAAGGUGAAAUCGUUGAAAUUGGGCAUCGCAUACAGCAUUUUUAAAAUUCGUACUUAUCCAUAUCAAGAAAUUAUAUAUCUUCUUCAUUGAAAAAAAACAAAACAAUUUCAUUAUCUAAAAUGAGAUCCAAUAAAAAUAAUUAAAAUAAAUACAUUCUAUCAUGAGUGGAAAAGAGGAUAUCAUAAAGGAUAACAUUAUGACAAAGAAAUAAUUUGUGUUGAAGUUUAAGACUCUCAAUCAAGGAAAAGAUUUUUAUUUAAUACAGUAUAAAGCAAGAUGUUAGAAUAGCAAUAAAGGCAUAAAAGAAAAAAAAUUAACUAUAAGAAGGAAGAAUUUACAAACAUGCUUCUUUCAGCGCCUCCAUGAGUGUUGAUUUGUCAGUCACUCCUUCCAAACUCUUUGAAUCCUUUCCAACAUUUGAUUUUUUUUUGGAUAACUAAUUAAUACUUUAUCUUGAAGAUAGAGGUUGUCUGGCCGGCAUUCAAAUUUCUGUAAAAAAAUUGUACUAAAUUCGAAAAAUCGCGUGAGAACGCCCUUGCAAUCUCAGAACAAUUUUGAACGCCUUGCCAAAUGUUUUAUUUUUAUUUAUUUCAAACGCUGAGAAAAAUAAAAUUUUAACUGGCCGAAAAGUCUAUUUUUUUUUACAGAAAAAAUAAUUAAAGUUUUGAUAAAUUAAUUAACAAUUUGAUAGCUAAUUUUAAUUAUUUAAUUACUGGAACAUUAACACGUUAUGAACAGCCGAAGCUGAACAAGUUCAUCAAAUGUUUUCAUUGUAAGUGCAUGUCUUCUUAGUAAGUAAAAAAAUAUAUUAGUAAAUAUAAAUAGAGUCGCGGCGCCUUGAGCUUUUUUUUUUUUUGUAAUUUGUCGAAAUCAAGACUUCUGUGAUAAUGAAAACAGAGCAAUACUACUGGAUGAGGAUAAUCCAAGAAUUUUGAAGCCUUCUUUAAUCGUGGUAUUUGGAAUCCUAAAAAAAAAAAAAGAAACAAAUAUAUUAUUCAUAGAAAAAAUGGUCAAUUGAAUUUUUAUUUUCUAAUAAUCUGUUUUGAGAGCUCUUAUCUAAAAAGAGUUAAAUAAUUUGAUCGUUUCCAAAAGUAAAAGAUAGUUUGCUGGAUAAAGCUGGGCUUUGCUUUCCAUCAACUAUAUAAAAGAAACGCAUUGCCAGUAAAUUUAUUUGUGUAAAAUUUUAACGAUAGAUGGCAAUUAAAUUUAAUUUACUAAUAUAUAUAUAUAGUUUGUGUUGAACCGAAAUAUAAUUUUUCUAAUUGAAAUUUUUAAUGAUGCACGUUUGAAUUAAAGGUAAGUUAAUUUUUUUAUUUGCUUUAUGAAAAUAUGUUUAAAAUAUUUGUUUACAUUCCUUAUUGAAGCGAAGUGUUCAAAAUUUUUAGAUAAAAUAUUCCAGCGAAAACAUGUUGGGACUCAAAGGUAAGUUUUUAUUAUUUCUUUUAUAUACGCUUUCUUGAAUAUUUAGUAAAACACACACAUUUUAAGAGAGUUUUCGACAUUUGGCCCAAAACCGAGACUAAGUCUCUCAUUGGUCGUGACGUCAGUGUGACGCUCAAUGUAAACAAAGGAUAUGAUUGAUUCUUUUUCACGUCACUACCUCGGGUAUUGUCUGAUUGGCUGGAUGGUUCCAACUCAUCGAUAUAGAAUUUUUUAAAAAUAAAAAUAAUUGAAAUACCUUUUGUUACUUUAAUAUUUAUAAAGGCCGUUUUUUUCCUAUUUAAUAUUAUCUCCAGAAUGUAUUUUUAAUUUUUAUAUCUCCAGAAUUUUUUUCAAAUUUUUAUAUUGGUGUAAUGUUCUCAAACGUAAACAAAGAAAUAGGGACAAAGUUAGGGAGACACCGUAACAUACAAUUAAAAAUAAAAAAGUACUUAUAUGCUUACGUAAGCUAAAGCAUACAAUAAAAUUAAAUAUAUGUGUUUUAAUUUUAAUAAUUUUAAUAAAUGCACGUGUUUUAAUUUUAAUAUAUUUUUAUAUAUGCACACAAUGACAAAAAUAUUUAAGAUUGCAAAUGCAUACAAACGUGUUUUAAAUUUUAUUUAAUAAAAAUCUAAGCUGACAAAUGCUUACGUAAGCUAAAGCAUAAAAUAAUAUUAAUUAAACGUGUUUUAAUUUUAAUAUAUUUUUAUAUAUUAAAAGCCUAGGCAUACAAUUAUACAAUAAAUACAAUUAUAUGAACAUAAUCGUUAAAAAAAAUAACAGAUAAAAAAAAUGACAGAUACAUUUAAAAAAAAAAUUAUUAUUCAGUGGGCCGAAUUUUCAUUUAUUCUUUUCAACUGAAAAAAAAAAAAAAGGUUAUUCGAAGAGUUAAUAUAGACAAAAUAACUACUCACCUAACUAGCCAGGGUAUAUCUUUCUUAUAUCCUUGAAAAAUUGUUUAAUGAGCAGUUGUUGGCUGUUUUUAUUUGUUCUUGGAUCCACAUAAUGCUUCCUUCUCCACCAAUACUCCGAAAGAUAAAAUUCAAGAGAAUCUUUUACUUUCCUUUUCCCCACGUGUAAUUUUUUUGCUGCGCCCCAGGUGGCCUCGAUAUUAUUCGUAUGUGCUCCCGUUUCCGGGUCUUUAAAAUGUAGUUUGUGGUUAACCACAAGGUGGUCGAAACCUUCUUGAUCCAGCUUGUAGUAGGAUCGAAACCCAUCCGAAAUAAUGGUGGUGCCAGGCAAAACCUAUUUUUUUAUAACCGCAAUGAGAGUACGGGCCCUACGGUCGGCGACCACCUGGAAAAAAAAAUCUUUUGUUUCCACGUCUACACCGCCAAAAACCCAAUGUCCUUCGGAAGUUUUGGCACAGUGAUUUUUAGUUUUCUUAUUGUGGCCAAACAGGCUCUCGUCUAUUUGCACCUGUUUGCCUUUACCACCAAUUUUCGGAGGGUCGUCCAGAUAUAGAAGGUAGCAAACCUCCCUGCAGAAGUUAACCCAGUGCGUUACUGCGUCAUCAGAUACCCCAGACUGCUCUGCAAUGGUCUUUAUAUCAAUCUUUACCACCCACAGUGCAGUCAUUGUUAUAAUUUGGUGGAGUUUUAAGGUCGAUUUCUCAAACCAAGUUCCGCAUCGCAAACUUGUUCUAAUACUAUGCACUCCAAUUUUUUUAGAUGUGCUUCUACAUCGCCAUACUACAUGAUCUGUGUUUGUAUAGGAUUUCAGUUCCAUAUCUCUGCCACAGUGCGGGCAUGUCCUCCACAUAAUGCUUCCUUCUCCACCAAUACUCCGAAAGAUAAAAUUCAAGAGAAUCUUUUACUUUCCUUUUCCCCCACGUGUAAUUUUUUUGCUGCGCCCCAGGUGGCCUCGAUAUUAUUCGUAUGUGCUCCCGUUUCCGGGUCUUUAAAAUGUAGUUUGUGGUUAACCACAAGGUGGUUGAAACCUUCUUGAUCCAGCUUGUAGUAGGAUCGAAACCCAUCCGAAAUAAUGGUGGUGCCAGGCAAAACCUAUUUUUUUAUAACCGCAAUGAGAGUACGGGCCCUACGGUCGGCGACCACCUGAAAAAAAAAAAUCUUUUGUUUCCACGUCUACACCGCCAAAAACCCAAUGUCCUAAGGCAGUUUUGGCACAGUGAUUUUUAGUUUUCUUAUUGUGGCCAAACAGGCUCUCGUCUAUUUGCACCUGUUUGCCUUUACCACCAAUUUUCGGAGGGUCGUCCAGAUAUAGAAGGUAGCAAACCUCCCUGCAGAAGUUAACCCAGUGCGUUACUGCGUCAUCAGAUACCCCAGACUGCUCUGCAAUGGUCUUUAUAUCAAUCUUUACCACCCACAGUGCAGUCAUUGUUAUAAUUUGGUGGAGUUUUAAGGUCGAUUUCUCAAACAAAGUUCCGCAUCGCAAACUUGUUCUAAUACUAUGCACUCCAAUUUUUUUAGAUGUGCUUCUACAUCGCCAUACUACAUGAUCUGUGUUUGUAUAGGAUUUCAGUUCCAUAUCUCUGCCACAGUGCGGGCAUGUCCUCCACAUAAUGCUUCCUUCUCCACCAAUACUCCGAAAGAUAAAAUUCAAGAGAAUCUUUUACUUUCCUUUUCCCCACGUGUAAUUUUUUUGCUGCGCCCCAGGUGGCCUCGAUAUUAUUCGUAUGUGCUCCCGUUUCCGGGUCUUUAAAAUGUAGUUUGUGGUUAACCACAAGGUGGUCGAAACCUUCUUGAUCCAGCUUGUAGUAGGAUCGAAACCCAUCCGAAAUAAUGGUGGUGCCAGGCAAAACCUAUUUUUUUAUAACCGCAAUGAGAGUACGGCCCUACGGUCGGCGACCACCUGGAAAAAAAAAUCUUUUGUUUCCACGUCUACACCGCCAAAAACCCAAUGUCCUUCGGCAGUUUUGGCACAGUGAUUUUUAGUUUUCUUAUUGUGGCCAAACAGGCUCUCGUCUAUUUGCACCUGUUUGCCUUUACCACCAAUUUUCGGAGGGUUGUCCAGAUAUAGAAGGCAGCAAACCUCCCUGCAGAAGUUAACCCAGUGCGUUACUGCGUCAUCAGAUACCCCAGACUGCUCUGCAAUGGUCUUUAUAUCAAUCUUUACCACCCACAGUGCAGUCAUUGUUAUAAUUUGGUGGAGUUUUAAGGUCGAUUUCUCAAACCAAGUUCCGCAUCGCAAACUUGUUCUAAUACUAUGCACUCCAAUUUUUUUAGAUAUGCUUCUACAUCGCCAUACUACAUGAUCUGUGUUUGUAUAGGAUUUCAGUUCCAUAUCUCUGCCACAGUGCGGGCAUGUCCUCCACAUAAUGCUUCCUUCUCUACCAAUACUCCGAAAGAUAAAAUUCAAGAGAAUCUUUUACUUUCCUUUUCCCCACGUGUAAUUUUUUUGCUGCCCCCCAGGUGGCCUCGAUAUUAUUCGUAUGUGCUCCCGUUUCCGGGUCUUUAAAAUGUAGUUUGUGGUUAACCACAAGGUGGUCGAAACCUUCUUGAUCCAGCUUGUAGUAGGAUCGAAACCCAUCCGAAAUAAUGGUGGUGCCAGGCAAAACAUAUUUUUUUAUAACCGCAAUGAGAGUACGGGCCCUACGGUCGGCGACCACCUGGAAAAAAAAUCUUUUGUUUCCACGUCUACACCGCCAAAAACCCAAUGUCCUUCGGCAGUUUUGGCACAGUGAUUUUUAGUUUUCUUAUUGUGGCCAAACAGGCUCUCGUCUAUUUGCACCUGUUUGCCUUUACCACCAAUUUUCGGAGGGUCGUCCAGAUAUAGAAGGUAGCAAACCUCCCUGCAGAAGUUAACCCAGUGCGUUACUGCGUCAUCAGAUUCCCCAGACUGCUCUGCAAUGGUCUUUAUAUCAAUCUUUACCACCCACAGUGCAGUCAUUGUUAUAAUUUGGUGGAGUUUUAAAGUCGAUUUCUCAAACCAAGUUCCGCAUCGCAAACUUGUUCUAAUACUAUGCACUCCAAUUUUUUUAGAUGUGCUUCUACAUCGCCAUACUACAUGAUCUGUGUUUGUAUAGGAUUUCAGUUCCAUAUCUCUGCCACAGAGCGGGCAUGUCCUCCACAUAAUGCUUCCUUCUCCACCAAUACUCCGAAAGAUAAAACUCAAGAGAAUCUUUUACUUUCCUUUUCCCCCACGUGUAAUUUUUUUGCUGCGCCCCAGGUGGCCUCGAUAUUAUUCGGGUCUUUAAAAUGUAGUUUGUGGUUAACCACAAGGUGGUCGAAACCUUCUAGAUUCAGCUUGUAGUAGGAUCGAAACCCAUCCGAAAUAAUGGUGGUGCCUGGCAAAACCUAUUUUUUUAUAACCGCAAUGAGAGUACGGGCCCUACGGUCGGCGACCACCUGGAAAAAAAAAUCUUUUGUUUCCACGUCUACACCGCCAAAAACCCAAUGUCCUUCGGCAGUUUUGGCACAGUGAUUUUUAGUUUUCUUAUUGUGGCCAAACAGGCUCUCGUCUAUUUGCACCUGUUUGCCUUUACCACCAAUUUUCGGAGGGUCGUCCAGAUAUAGAAGGUAGCAAACCUCCCUGCAGAAGUUAACCCAGUGCGUUACUGCGUCAUCAGAUACCCCAGACUGCUCUGCAAUGGUCUUUAUAUCAAUCUUUACCACCCACAGUGCAGUCAUUGUUAUAAUUUGGUGGAGUUUUAAGGUCGAUUUCUCAAACCAAGUUCCGCAUCGCAAACUUGUUCUAAUACUAUGCACUCCAAUUUUUUUAGAUGUGCUUCUACAUCGCCAUACUACAUGAUCUGUGUUUGUAUAGGAUUUCAGUUCCAUAUCUCUGCCACAGUGCGGGCAUGUCCUCCACAUAAUGCUUCCUUCUCCACCAAUACUCCGAAAGAUAAAAUUCAAGAGAAUCUUUUACUUUCCUUUUCCCCACGUGUAAUUUUUUUGCUGCGCCCCAGGUGGCCUCGAUAUUAUUCGUAUGUGCUCCCGUUUCCGGGUCUUUAAAAUGUAGUUUGUGGUUAACCACAAGGUGGUCGAAACCUUCUAGAUCCAGCUUGUAGUAGGAUCGAAACCCAUCCGAAAUAAUGGUGGUGCCAGGCAAAACCUAUUUUUUUAUAACCGCAAUGAGAGUACGGGCCCUACGGUCGGCGACCACCUGGAAAAAAAAUCUUGUUUCCACGUCUACACCGCCAAAAACCCAAUGUCCUUCGGCAGUUUUGGCAGAGUGAUUUUUAGUUUUCUUAUUGUGGCCAAACAGGCUCUCGUCUAUUUGCACCUGUUUGCCUUUACCACCAAUUUUCGGAGGGUCGUCCAGAUAUAGAAGGUAGCAAACCUCCCUGCAGAAGUUAACCCAGUGCGUUACUGCGUCAUCAGAUACCCCAGACUGCUCUGCAAUGGUCUUUAUAUUGUUGCACCAGGUUGCGGCUUGGCAGACUCUUCAGCCUUGAUUCUCUCCUGUGCUGGGUCUUGCAUCUUACCAGAGCGUGUUUCAACCAUCCUACAAAUUUAUAAAAGGGAAUAAUGAGAUAAGUCUACUUUAUGUAGCCACCAGAAUCAUUUAUUUAUUUUCUCACAUCAAAGAGAGCAGUGAAGUCACAGUGUACCUAAAUACAAAUGAUGAUAAUCUAAAAAUAAUCUGUUUUAAAUAAAUAUCAUAGAAUAUAAAAAUAAAUAAAUAUAUAAUUUAAAUUUCAAAUAUAUUAAAAAUAAUAUAAUAAAUACGCCAUUAAUCAUGAUGUAACAAUAUCAAUCUUUACCACCCACAGUGCAGUCAUUGUUAUAAUUUGGUGGAGUUUUAAGGUCGAUUUCUCAAACCAAGUUCCGCAUCGCAAACUUGUUCUAAUACUAUGCACUCCAAUUUUUUUAGAUGUGCUUCUACAUCGCCAUACUACAUGAUCUGUGUUUGUAUAGGAUUUCAGUUCCAUAUCUCUGCCACAGUGCGGGCAUGUCCUCCACAUAAUGCUUCCUUCUCCACCAAUACUCCGAAAGAUAAAAUUCAAGAGAAUCUUUUACUUUCCUUUUCCCCACGUGUAAUUUUUUUGCUGCGCCCCAGGUGGCCUCGAUAUUAUUCGUAUGUGCUCCCGUUUCCGGGUCUUUAAAAUGUAGUUUGUGGUUAACCACAAGGUGGUCGAAACCUUCUUGAUCCAGCUUGUAGUAGGAUCGAAACCCAUCCGAAAUAAUGGUGGUGCCAGGCAAAACAUAUUUUUUUAUAACCGCAAUGAGAGUACGGGCCCUACGGUCGGCGACCACCUGGAAAAAAAAAUCUUUUGUUUCCACGUCUACACCGCCAAAAACCCAAUGUCCUUCGGCAGUUUUGGCACAGUGAUUUUUAGUUUUCUUAUUGUGGCCAAACAGGCUCUCGUCUAUUUGCACCUGUUUGCCUUUACCACCAAUUUUCGGAGGGUCGUCCAGAUAUAGAAGGUAGCAAACCUCCCUGCAGAAGUUAACCCAGUGCGUUACUGCGUCAUCAGAUACCCCAGACUGCUCUGCAAUGGUCUUUAUAUCAAUCUUUACCACCCACAGUGCAGUCAUUGUUAUAAUUUGGUGGAGUUUUAAGGUCGAUUUCUCAAACCAAGUUCCGCAUCGCAAACUUGUUCUAAUACUAUGCACUCCAAUUUUUUUAGAUGUGCUUCUACAUCGCCAUACUACAUGAUCUGUGUUUGUAUAGGAUUUCAGUUCCAUAUCUCUGCCACAGUGCGGGCAUGUCCUCCACAUAAUGCUUCCUUCUCCACCAAUACUCCGAAAGAUAAAAUUCAAGAGAAUCUUUUACUUUCCUUUUCCCCCACGUGUAAU